Molecule: ribosomal RNA, 376 nt
Filed under: uncultured bacterium
Lineage: Bacteria
Description: bacterial SSU rRNA
Rfam family: Bacterial small subunit ribosomal RNA
Source: RNAcentral
ACACGGGGGUUGCGAGCGUUGUCCGGAAUUACUAGGCGUAAAGGGCAGGUAGGCGGAUAGAUAAGUUUGAUGUUAAAGGCGACGGCUUGCCCGUCGUAAGGCAUUAGAUACUGUUUAUCUGGAAUGCGGUAGGGGAAGACAGAAUUCCUGGUGUAGCGGUGGAAUGCGCAGAGAUCAGGAGGAAUACCGAGGGCGAAGGCAGUCUUCUAAGCCGUAAUUGACGCUAAACUGCGAAGGUGUGGGUAUCAAACAGGAUUAGAUACCCUGGUAGUCCACACAGUAAACGAUAAUCACUAGGUGUCGGGUUCGAAGAGGAUUCGGUGCCGUAGCUAACGCGCUAAGUGAUUCGCCUGGGGAGUACGAUCGCAAGGUUGAA